GAAUUUAUAAGUUAAAAAAUUCAAACCUAAAGACUGAACUAUUUAUUUAUUUGUUCUAAUAGGUUGAGUCAAAUAUUACACGUACUUGAACAUAUUCAAAUAUAUAGUAGAUUAAUUGGUUCAAUUUUUUUGUCUAGUAAUUAGUGGUUAAAAUUUUACUAUUUAAAGAUGAAAAAUUAAAAUAUCGCAAGUUCGAACCAAC
This 202-nucleotide long non-coding RNA is filed under the name Lathyrus oleraceus (garden pea). RNAcentral's name for it is "Pisum sativum (pea) long non-coding RNA (PSAT_LNC003738)". Lineage: Eukaryota; Viridiplantae; Streptophyta; Magnoliopsida; Fabales; Fabaceae. The record is from RNAcentral.